RNAcentral lists this long non-coding RNA (1118 nucleotides) under Carassius auratus (goldfish). RNAcentral's name for it is "lncRNA (ENSCARG00000019064.1)". The record is from RNAcentral. Lineage: Eukaryota; Metazoa; Chordata; Actinopteri; Cypriniformes; Cyprinidae.
AGAGACUCUAUAGUAAUAAAAUAAAGUAAAAUAAAAUAAAAUAAAUAAUCUAAUCUUUGCUUAAAUUUGUACAUGACCCCUUUCAUAAUAAUAAUAAUAAUAUUUUGGCAUUUAACGCAUAAGUUAAUUAUUUAAACAGUGAAAGUCUUACUGUUUUAAAAUAUUGUCUUAAGACCCAUCUUGUUUAUGCUUUUUAUGUGAUUGUUUGUAUUUGGUCUGUUAGGGUGUAAUAAUAAUUAUUGUGUAAUGUUGAUUGUUUUGUUGUAAGGUGUCCUUGAGUGUCAUGUCAGGUGCCUAUAAAUAACAUGAAAUAAAUUUUACACAGAGGUCAAGUUCAUUAUUUACGUUUGACAUUUCAUGUAACGGACCUCAAACUGUGCUCAACAACUGUAAGCGGUAAGCGUAGCGGUACCUUUAAGAAAAUUGGACCGAUGUAUUUUGAAAACGGGGGAGAACAGUUCAUUUAGUUGUGAAAAGUCGUGUGCAAAGAGUGUAUAUACUGAAUAGUUGAUCUAUUUAUUAUGCAGCUACUCAAUUAUUUCCUAUACUGUAAAACUGAACAUUAGCUAAUGAUAUUAAGGGGACAUGAUAAAACCUGUUUGACCGAUCCCCCCUCUUUCCCACAAAAGUCUAUUCUUGAUCUAAGGCUCAUGAUGCAGUGGGAUUCAAUAAGCUGGUAGGUGCUGCCCAACUCAAGGUUUUCGGCUCCAGUCGACAGCGAAUGAGCACGGAAAUAUACCGCAGCAUCCUCACUCAUUUGAAGUGUUUACGUGCAGAUCAUAAAGGUUGGACCUGCCUCUGCAAGAUGGAGCUUUUGAUUCUGUGGUCUUCCAGGUUCAAUCAGACUGUAGCUUCCUCUUUUUAGUGCAAGAUCCUGUGUGAUGUUCUCGUCAUCUUUUCCACACCAUACAGCAUCAGCCCCACUGAUAACCUGCAGCAGCUGGAGGACAAGGACAGCUCGGACAGCAGCUCAGAGCCCGUUAAAACCUGAGCCAUACAAAGAUUCUCAGCCUUGGCCAGGAACAAAGGAGCAGCGACAAGGCUUUUCCCCACAAUCCUCUGGUGCUGCCUCCCAGCUUGCUGAGCCUGACGAGUGUGCUGACACUUACUGGAGCUGA